GGGCGUGUGGCCUAGCGGAUAGGGCGGAAGGUUCCUAACCUUCAGACCGCGGGUUCGAAUCCCGUCACGCCCG
Molecule: transfer RNA, 73 nt
Filed under: Halalkalicoccus tibetensis
Lineage: Archaea; Methanobacteriati; Methanobacteriota; Halobacteria; Halobacteriales; Halalkalicoccaceae
Also listed under: 3 other names
Description: tRNA-Arg
Rfam family: tRNA
About the family: Transfer RNA (tRNA) molecules are approximately 80 nucleotides in length. Their secondary structure includes four short double-helical elements and three loops (D, anti-codon, and T loops).
Source: RNAcentral